Molecule: long non-coding RNA, 330 nt
Organism: Solea senegalensis (Senegalese sole)
Lineage: Eukaryota; Metazoa; Chordata; Actinopteri; Pleuronectiformes; Soleidae
Exons: 3
Source: RefSeq, a predicted model, not a curated record
CACAGGAGACACACACACACACACACAGCACAUGCUCUUAUAUGUGUCACAUUCCAACUGUGGCAUUCUUGUUAAUUAGAACAUAAAUUAAUGAACCAAGCGUGUGAGACAGGCUGCUUCUUCCUCACUCCAGUCAACAGUAAGCCUUGCUCCCAAACACAGCUGCCUCUGCACUGCCUACAUCGUUCUCCUCCUCAGGACAGAAAACCUGCGCCUGUCCACACCAACAUGAACAACCAGCGGAAACAGCGGUGAUAGAUUCUGGUGCAAAGUCAAAGAAAACAACAACAGUAAACUCAGUCUGCCGCGGCUCCUCUGUGGUGCGGGACA